GGAUACCUACGGGACGCAGCAGUGGGGAAUAUUGCACAAUGGGGGAAACCCUGAUGCAGCAACGCCGCGUGAGUGAAGAAGUAUUUCGGUAUGUAAAGCUCUAUCAGCAGGGAAGAAAAUGACAGUACCUGACUAAGAAGCCCCGGCUAACUACGUGCCAGCAGCCGCGGUAAUACGUAGGGGGCAAGCGUUAUCCGGAUUUACUGGGUGUAAAGGGAGCGUAGACGGCUGCGCAAGUCUGGAGUGAAACGCAUGAGCUCAACUCAUGCAUGGCUUUGGAAACUGGAGGACUGGAGAGCAGGAGG
This 305-nucleotide ribosomal RNA is filed under the name uncultured bacterium. RNAcentral's name for it is "bacterial SSU rRNA". It matches the Rfam family "Bacterial small subunit ribosomal RNA", at positions 333 to 655 of the family's 1533-position model. The record is from RNAcentral.